AAAUUGAAGAGUUUGAUCAUGGCUCAGAUUGAACGCUGGCGGCAGGCCUAACACAUGCAAGUCGAACGGUAACAGGAAGCAGCUUGCUGCUUCGCUGACGAGUGGCGGACGGGUGAGUAAUGUCUGGGAAACUGCCUGAUGGAGGGGGAUAACUACUGGAAACGGUGGCUAAUACCGCAUAACGUCGCAAGACCAAAGAGGGGGACCUUCGGGCCUCUUGCCAUCAGAUGUGCCCAGAUGGGAUUAGCUUGUUGGUGAGGUAACGGCUCACCAAGGCGACGAUCCCUAGCUGGUCUGAGAGGAUGACCA
Molecule: ribosomal RNA, 309 nt
Filed under: Salmonella enterica
Lineage: Bacteria; Pseudomonadati; Pseudomonadota; Gammaproteobacteria; Enterobacterales; Enterobacteriaceae
Description: bacterial SSU rRNA
Rfam family: Bacterial small subunit ribosomal RNA
Source: RNAcentral